This 991-nucleotide long non-coding RNA is filed under the name Homo sapiens (human). Its description in RNAcentral is "small nucleolar RNA host gene 17". The record is from RNAcentral. Lineage: Eukaryota; Metazoa; Chordata; Mammalia; Primates; Hominidae.
GCUCUCGUCUGUAUUUCCGCCGGCGCGAAACGAGCGUAGCUUCCUUGUCGUGUGGCCUCAGUCCUUCGCCGUCCCUCGCCGUCCUUCGCCAUCGCACGCCACCGCACCCCAUCUCUCGAAAUCUGCAGACAUCUUGAUUUUUCCCACGCUGUCUGUCAGGUCUCCGCCGCCACUCGACGCCAGGGCGCCGGGCCUUGUGGGCUGUGCUGCACCUCGGACGGCUUCGCACCAGCCAGCGCCCUCUCUCUCCUGCAGCACUCUGAUCUGCACCCCCUGAGGGGCUUCCACUGUCCGCGGGGUGAGAAUGCCCCUGGGAGUGUCACAUGACUGCCGCCCCAUGUGUGUGAGAGGCGUCCUCUGGGAGAGCAUGGAUCCUGAGGUCCCAGGAUUGUCAGCUGACCUCUGUCCUGUGUGCCCAGUGGCCCCAGGUGACGUGUCUUCAAGAAGAGGCUGAGCUGCGGUGCUUGUAAGGGUCUCAUUCUGUCACCCAGGCUGGAGUGCAGUGGUGCAAUGAUGGCUCACUGCAGCCUCGACCUGGGCUCAAGUGAUCCUCCACCUCAGCUUCCUGAGUAGCUGGGACCACAGGUCUCAGCCUUAGAUCCAAGGACAGUCCAAGGAAGUCCUAAGACCAUGGAGUUGGUGAUCUGGGAUCUGGGUUUGCUGAUAUUUCUCACCGUGAAUCUCUUGGUGGUGUUUGUGGGCACGAGAGGGGCAGAGAAUGGAGAGUGAGGCUACCACAUGAAGCGUCACCAGAGCUGCUCCCUGCUGCCUGCUCAGAGCACCCCGGAUCCACUGUUCAAUCUGCACAAGAUUCGGGGUCCAGACAUGGGAGACUUCAGCUGCCUCAGAGGACCGUGGACAGGGAAGGCCAGCCUCGCAUCCCUCUGUCCAUGCCUGGAAUGACUUUAAUAACCAAGAGUUUUAUUUUUGAAUUUGUAGCUGUCGUUCACUUUUUACCCACCCAUUCAAUAAACCUUACAGAAUUGCUCCA